GACAGAGGAGCCAAGCGUUGUCCGGAUUGACUGGGCGUAAAGCGCACGCAGGCGGAUGCGCGCGUGGGGUGUGAAAUCUGGCCGCUUAACGGCCAGGCGCCAUCCCAUACGGCGCGUCUGGAGUGAUGCAGAGGUCGAUGGAAUUGCCGGUGUAGUGGUGAAAUGCGUAGAGAUCGGCAGGAACACCCAGGGGGAAACCAGUCGACUGGGCAUCUACUGACGCUGAGGUGCGAGAGCGUGGGGAGCAAACAGG
This 253-nucleotide ribosomal RNA is filed under the name uncultured bacterium. RNAcentral's name for it is "partial 16S ribosomal RNA". It matches the Rfam family "Bacterial small subunit ribosomal RNA", at positions 524 to 776 of the family's 1533-position model. The record is from RNAcentral.